This 298-nucleotide ribosomal RNA is filed under the name uncultured Anaerolineaceae bacterium. Its description in RNAcentral is "partial 16S ribosomal RNA". It matches the Rfam family "Bacterial small subunit ribosomal RNA", at positions 1074 to 1382 of the family's 1533-position model. Lineage: Bacteria; Bacillati; Chloroflexota; Anaerolineae; Anaerolineales; Anaerolineaceae. The record is from RNAcentral.
GUUCGGGUUAAGUCCGCUAACGAGCGCAACCCUCGUCGUAUGUUACUAUCGUGUCAUACGAGACUGCCGGUAAAAAGCCGGAGGAAGGUGAGGAUGAUGUCAAGUCAGCAUGACCUUUAUAUCCAGGGCUACACACACGCUACAAUGGUCUGUACAAUGGGUAGCCAAGCCGCGAGGCGGAGCCAAUCCUGAAAGCAGGCCUCAGUUCAGAUUGCAGUCUGCAACUCGACUGCAUGAAGCCGGAGUUGCUAGUAACCGCAGGUCAGCAAUACUGCGGUGAAUACGUUCCCGGGUCCUU